RNAcentral lists this ribosomal RNA (440 nucleotides) under uncultured bacterium. RNAcentral describes it as "bacterial SSU rRNA". It matches the Rfam family "Bacterial small subunit ribosomal RNA", at positions 1 to 487 of the family's 1533-position model. The record is from RNAcentral.
AGAAGUUUGAUCCUGGCUCAGAAGCGAACGCUGGCGGCAGGCUUAACACAUGCAAGUCGAGCGGGCGUACCAAUACGUCAGCGGCAGACGGGUGAGUAACGCGUGGGAACGUACCUUUAUGGUUCGGAACAACACAGGGAAACUUGGUGCUAAUACCGGAUAAGCCCUUACGGGGAAAAGAUUUAUCGCCGAAAGAUCGGCCCGCGUCUGAUUAGCUAGUGGGUGAGGUAACGGCUCACCAAGGCGACGAUCAGUAGCUGGUCUGAGAGGAUGAUCAGCCACAUGGGGACUGAGACACGGCCCAAACUCCUACGGGAGGCAGCAGUGGGGAAUAUUGGACAAUGGGCGCAAGCCUGAUCCAGCCAUGCCGCGUGAGUGAUGAAGGCCCUAGGGUUGUAAAGCUCUUUUGUGCGGGAAGAUAAUGACGGUACCGCAAGAAU